This 267-nucleotide ribosomal RNA is filed under the name Schwanniomyces capriottii. RNAcentral describes it as "Debaryomyces castellii 25S ribosomal RNA". It matches the Rfam family "Eukaryotic large subunit ribosomal RNA", at positions 346 to 631 of the family's 3401-position model. Lineage: Eukaryota; Fungi; Ascomycota; Pichiomycetes; Serinales; Debaryomycetaceae. The record is from RNAcentral.
AAGUACAGUGAUGGAAAGAUGAAAAGAACUUUGAAAAGAGAGUGAAAAAGUACGUGAAAUUGUUGAAAGGGAAGGGCUUGAGAUCAGACUUGGUAUUUUGCAAGCCNUACCNUCGUGGUGGGGUCCCCUGCAGUUUACUGGGCCAGCAUCGGUUUGGAUGGUGGGAUAAUGACUUGGGAAUGUGGCUUUGCUUCGGUAAAGUGUUAUAGCCCNNGUUGAUACCGCCNGUCUAGACCGAGGACUGCGUCUUUGACUAGGAUGUUGGCA